This 253-nucleotide ribosomal RNA is filed under the name uncultured bacterium. RNAcentral describes it as "partial 16S ribosomal RNA". It matches the Rfam family "Bacterial small subunit ribosomal RNA", at positions 524 to 776 of the family's 1533-position model. The record is from RNAcentral.
UACGUAGGAUGCAAGCGUUGUCCGGAAUUACUGGGCGUAAAGGGCGAGCAGGUGGCACUACAAGUCUGAUGUAAAAUCUCCCGGCUUAACUGGGAGGGGCCAUUGGAAACUGUAGAGCUGGAGUGCAGGAGAGGCUAACGGAAUUCCCGGUGUAGUGGUGAAAUGCGUAGAUAUCUGGAGGAACACCGGUGGCGAAGGCGGCAUCCUGGACCAACACUGACGCUGAGGAGCGAAAGCCAGGGGAGCAAACGGG